GGUCCCGUAAUUCAAUGGAUAGAAUAAGUUUCCUAAACUUUGGAUAUAGGUUCGAUUCCUGUCGGGACUA
This 70-nucleotide transfer RNA is filed under the name Chitinophagaceae bacterium. RNAcentral's name for it is "tRNA-Arg". It matches the Rfam family "tRNA". Rfam says of the family: Transfer RNA (tRNA) molecules are approximately 80 nucleotides in length. Their secondary structure includes four short double-helical elements and three loops (D, anti-codon, and T loops). Further hydrogen bonds mediate the characteristic L-shaped molecular structure. tRNAs have two regions of fundamental functional importance: the anti-codon, which is responsible for specific mRNA codon recognition, and the 3' end, to which the tRNAs corresponding amino acid is attached (by aminoacyl-tRNA synthetases). tRNAs cope with the degeneracy of the genetic code in two manners: having more than one tRNA (with a specific anti-codon) for a particular amino acid; and 'wobble' base-pairing, i.e. permitting non-standard base-pairing at the 3rd anti-codon position. Lineage: Bacteria; Pseudomonadati; Bacteroidota; Chitinophagia; Chitinophagales; Chitinophagaceae. The record is from RNAcentral.